RNAcentral lists this ribosomal RNA (393 nucleotides) under Triticum aestivum (bread wheat). RNAcentral's name for it is "partial small subunit ribosomal RNA". The record is from RNAcentral. Lineage: Eukaryota; Viridiplantae; Streptophyta; Magnoliopsida; Poales; Poaceae.
AUGCUUCAUAGAAAGAAUUUUUUCUUGCCUGGCUAUACUUGUGUGCUUUGUGGUCUGCAGGUCUUAGAAACCAGAGAUCAUUUGUUCUUCCAUUGCCCUUUUUAUAGAAUCUGUUGGACAUACUUAGCAGCCAACUGGGCUCCCACCUACCAAGGCAUUCAACAUGAGAUCAAUAACCUAAAGGAGAUGCUGGAUCUCCCCUUCUCCCUAGAGAUUAUCAUCCUUGCUGCUUGGGCAAUUUGGAUCACAAGAAAUGAAUUCAUAUUCAGCAAAAUAACACCCAGCCUUUAUAGAUGCCGAAAGACUUUCUAAGAAGAACUGAAAUGGCUAGUCCACAGAGCAACUAGAGAAGAAUAUGCAAACUUGGAGCAAUGGGCACAUGACUUCAAAUAA